UCAAACCACUAGAGGUGUCGCAAGACUGAGAGGGGCUCAUAUUGCCCUAACUCUUCGAACCUGACCUGGGUCAUACCAGCGUAGGGAAGUGGGAACGGUCCUUC
RNAcentral lists this non-coding RNA (104 nucleotides) under Geomicrobium sp. JCM 19038. RNAcentral's name for it is "TPP riboswitch aptamer (THI element)". It matches the Rfam family "TPP riboswitch aptamer (THI element)". Rfam says of the family: Vitamin B(1) in its active form thiamin pyrophosphate (TPP) is an essential coenzyme that is synthesised by coupling of pyrimidine and thiazole moieties in bacteria. The previously detected thiamin-regulatory element, thi box was extended, resulting in a new, highly conserved RNA secondary structure, the THI element, which is widely distributed in eubacteria and also occurs in some archaea. RNAcentral also lists the same sequence under 1 other name. Lineage: Bacteria; Bacillati; Bacillota; Bacilli; Caryophanales. The record is from Rfam by way of RNAcentral.